AUUGAACGCUGGCGGCAGGCCUAACACAUGCAAGUCGAGCGGCAGCGGAAGGAAGCUUGCUUCCUUGCUGGCGAGCGGCGGACGGGUGAGUAAGGUAUGGGGAUCUGGCCGAAGGCGGGGGAUAACCACUGGAAACGGUGGCUAAUACCGCAUAAUCUCUAAGGAGCAAAGUGGGGGACCGUUCAGGCCUCACACCUUCGGAUGAACCCAUAUGAGAUUAGCUAGUAGGUGGGGUAAUGGCUCACCUAGGCGACGAUCUCUAGCUGGUCUGAGAGGAUGAUCAGCCACACUGGGACUGAGACACGGCCCAGACUCCUACGGGAGGCAGCAGUGGGGAAUAUUGCACAAUGGGCGCAAGCCUGAUGCAGCCAUGCCGUGUGUAUGAAGAAGGCCUUCGGGUUGUAAAGUACUUUCAGUCGUGAGGAAGGUGUUAAGGUUAAUAACCUUAGCAAUUGACGUUAGCGACAGAAGAAGCACCGGCUAACUCCGUGCCAGCCGCCGCGGUAA
Molecule: ribosomal RNA, 507 nt
Filed under: uncultured bacterium
Lineage: Bacteria
Description: partial 16S ribosomal RNA
Rfam family: Bacterial small subunit ribosomal RNA
Source: RNAcentral